UCUGGUUGAUCCUGCCAGUAGUCAUAUGCUUGUCUCAAAGAUUAAGCCGUGCAUGUCUAAGUAUAAGCAAUUUAUACAGUGAAACUGCGAAUGGCUCAUUAAAUCAGUUAUCGUUUAUUUGAUAGUUCCUUUACUACAUGGUAUAACUGUGGUAAUUCUAGAGCUAAUACAUGCUUAAAAUCUCGACCCUUUGGAAGAGAUGUAUUUAUUAGAUAAAAAAUCAAUGUCUUCGGACUCUUUGAUGAUUCAUAAUAACUUUUCGAAUCGCAUGGCCUUGUGCUGGCGAUGGUUCAUUCAAAUUUCUGCCCUAUCAACUUUCGAUGGUAGGAUAGUGGCCUACCAUGGUUUCAACGGGUAACGGGGAAUAAGGGUUCGAUUCCGGAGAGGGAGCCUGAGAAACGGCUACCACAUCCAAGGAAGGCAGCAGGCGCGCAAAUUACCCAAUCCUAAUUCAGGGAGGUAGUGACAAUAAAUAACGAUACAGGGCCCAUUCGGGUCUUGUAAUUGGAAUGAGUACAAUGUAAAUACCUUAACGAGGAACAAUUGGAGGGCAAGUCUGGUA
RNAcentral lists this ribosomal RNA (562 nucleotides) under uncultured eukaryote. Its description in RNAcentral is "SSU rRNA". It matches the Rfam family "Eukaryotic small subunit ribosomal RNA", at positions 1 to 566 of the family's 1831-position model. The record is from RNAcentral.